RNAcentral lists this transfer RNA (76 nucleotides) under Verrucomicrobiales bacterium. Its description in RNAcentral is "tRNA-Val". It matches the Rfam family "tRNA". Rfam says of the family: Transfer RNA (tRNA) molecules are approximately 80 nucleotides in length. Their secondary structure includes four short double-helical elements and three loops (D, anti-codon, and T loops). Lineage: Bacteria; Pseudomonadati; Verrucomicrobiota; Verrucomicrobiia; Verrucomicrobiales. The record is from RNAcentral.
GGGCGAUUAGCUCAAUUGGUAGAGCACUUCGUUUACACCGAAUAGGUCGGGGGUUCGAGUCCCUCAUCGCCCACCA